CCUACGGGUGGCUGCAGUGAGGAAUAUUGGUCAAUGGGCGCGAGACUGAACCAGCCAAGUCGCGUGAGGGAAGAAGGUACAAUGGAUCGUAAACCUCUUUUGUCGGGGAGCAAAAGACGCCACGCGUGGCCUUCCGAGAGUACCCGAAGAAAAAGCAUCGGCUAACUCCGUGCCAGCAGCCGCGGUAAUACGGAGGAUGCGAGCGUUAUCCGGAUUUAUUGGGUUUAAAGGGUGCGCAGGCGGACGAUCAAGUCAGCAGUAAAAUUGAGGGGCUCAACCUCGUCGAGCCGUUGAAACUGGUUGUCUUGAGUGAGUGAGAAGUAUGCGGAAUGCGUGGUGUAGCGGUGAAAUGCAUAGAUAUCGCGCAGAACUCCGAUUGCGAAGGCAGCAUACCGGCGCUCAACUGACGCUCAUGCACGAAAGUGUGGGUAUCGAACAGGAUUAGAUACCCUUGUAGUC
Molecule: ribosomal RNA, 459 nt
Filed under: uncultured bacterium
Lineage: Bacteria
Description: partial 16S ribosomal RNA
Rfam family: Bacterial small subunit ribosomal RNA
Source: RNAcentral